RNAcentral lists this ribosomal RNA (255 nucleotides) under uncultured bacterium. RNAcentral describes it as "partial 16S ribosomal RNA". It matches the Rfam family "Bacterial small subunit ribosomal RNA", at positions 527 to 779 of the family's 1533-position model. The record is from RNAcentral.
CGGAGGUGCAAGCGUUAUCCGGAUUCACUGGGUUUAAAGGGAGCGCAGGCGGAUUUGUAAGUCAGUGGUGAAAAGGCUUAAGCUUAACUUGGGAACUGCCAUUGAUACUAUAAGUCUUGAAUGUUGUUGAGGUUUGCGGAAUGGGUCAUGUAGCGGUGAAAUGCAUAGAUAUGACCCGGAACACCUAUUGCGAAGGCAGCGAGGACUAAACAAAUAUUGACGCUGAGCUCGAAAGCGUGGGGAUCAAACAGGAUU